UGCAUCGGCCGGGAAUCGAACCCUGGCCGCCCGCGUGGCAGACGAGCAUUCUACCACUGAACCACCGAUGC
This 71-nucleotide transfer RNA is filed under the name Cordylochernes scorpioides. Its description in RNAcentral is "tRNA-Gly". Lineage: Eukaryota; Metazoa; Arthropoda; Arachnida; Pseudoscorpiones; Chernetidae. The record is from RNAcentral.